Molecule: ribosomal RNA, 459 nt
Filed under: uncultured bacterium
Lineage: Bacteria
Description: partial 16S ribosomal RNA
Rfam family: Bacterial small subunit ribosomal RNA
Source: RNAcentral
CCUACGGGUGGCAGCAGUGAGGAAUAUUGGUCAAUGGUCGUGAGACUGAACCAGCCAAGCCGCGUGAGGGAAGAAUGUACAGAGUAUCGUAAACCUCUUUUGUCAGGGGACAAAGACUUGGACGCGUCCCCGUUUGCGGGUACCUGAAGAAAAAGCAUCGGCUAACUCCGUGCCAGCAGCCGCGGUAAUACGGAGGAUGCGAGCGUUAUCCGGAUUUAUUGGGUUUAAAGGGUGCGUAGGCGGAAUGGCAAGUUAGCGGUAAAAUCGGGGGGCUCAACCUCGCUCCGCCGUUGAAAAUGGAGUUCUUGAGUGGGCGAGAAGUAUGCGGAAUGCGUGGUGUAGCGGUGAAAUGCAUAGAUAUCACGAAGAACUCCGAUUGCGAAGGCAGCAAACCGGCGCCGAACUGACGCUGAAGCACGAAAGCGUGGGUAUCGAACAGGAUUAGAUACCCCAGUAGUC